GUUAGUCGCCUCUUACGACAAGCAUGGAUCGCUGAAGAUCAAUUCUAACCCGGAUCUUCACGGAUCGUUGAUAAUGUUAAACUUUGUUGUAGCAACCAGAUAGUUAUAUCCUGCAGUUGUCCUCUGCCAAAAUAUUGUUAUUCUUAAUUUGAGCAUAUUCAUCCAAACUUUAAGGAUCUUAUAAUGUCUUUGAAGAGUAAAAAGAACAAAUAGCUCAGAAGUAUGUGUCACUCAAACUACAUGUGAAUGUCAGGAUCACAUGUGUAUACAUGCAGUAACUGUUACAUUGUACAGUUUGAACAACUUUAUGUGGCCAAAAUGUCUCACACGUGACCAUUUAAAGAUUUAAUAAUUGGCACUAAGGGAUAUACAAGUGUGUAAUGCAUGAGACAUGUUUUUUCGAACGCGAAUUACUGUUCGGCGAUGUUUUUAUCAUUCGUUCCUUCAGUGUUUCAUGCGACAAGUAAUUAGGAGAUUAUGAAUUAGGUGUAAUAAGGAGAUUAUUUUCAAUGUUGCGGUCAUUUAUCGUUGAUUUAUGACCUCUAAAUGUAUUUAUAAAACCGAACGCUAAUAAAAAUCGAGUAUCACUCAGUGGAAUGUAUGUGGGAUGACAUUCGAGUAUAAAUUUACUGAAGGUUAAAUCGAAAAAUUAAACUUUAACUGAAUAACAUAUUUCUGUGUCAACGUCUAUGUCCAAUAAGUGUCUAUAUAUAACUAUAUUCCUGCACGCAAUUGGUAAGCUGUGUGUAAACAAAUAUAAAUAAGAUAUGAAUAUAUGUAUUGAUUAUAUUCAAUAUGCCUAUUUUUGAUCGCAUAUAAUCCUCGCACUAAUGAACUUGGAAUAAAAUGUGUAUAUUUUUGUGAAGUA
This is a long non-coding RNA of Haliotis rubra (blacklip abalone), 868 nucleotides long. RefSeq lists it as uncharacterized. The record is from RefSeq and is a predicted model, not a curated record. Lineage: Eukaryota; Metazoa; Mollusca; Gastropoda; Lepetellida; Haliotidae. The transcript is spliced from 2 exons.